Orcinus orca (killer whale) is the source of this 1128-nucleotide long non-coding RNA. RefSeq lists it as uncharacterized. NCBI's taxonomy places the organism in Eukaryota, Metazoa, Chordata, Mammalia, Artiodactyla, Delphinidae. The record is from RefSeq and is a predicted model, not a curated record. The transcript is spliced from 3 exons.
CCUCCAAGGCCAGUGUGCCAUCAGGGUCCGGCCCGGGGCCUGGGGCUGCCUGACCGACAGCAGCUCUGGCUGUGAGAGGGACGGGCCAGGUCUGACCGCGACCCCGCCAUCUGUCAGCCGGGGACGGUCAGCAGCGUGAGUGAAGCAGGGGCUCCGGCAGGGCCGCCCACCCAGCACCUGCUCUCGGGGCACCCAGGUGGGCGCCGGAAGGAGACGAGAUGGCGCCUCGGCCCUUCUGCUGGCCCCGAAGGGAGAGCAGGGUUUGGGCCAGAACCCGCUGCGUGGCUGUGUCCGCGGGUGGCCCUCCCGGCGCUCUAGGGAAGGAUGCUUUUGCUGUCACGGCGCUGGCUUUCGCCCGCAGAGACUGCGGGGACGGGCGGAGGCCCUCGUCCUCCCUCGCGGCGCGGCCCAGGCCUGAGCUCGCCCACCUCUGCACAGCGCGGCGGGUCCUGGACGCCCGGCCCGCGUUAACCGGGGCAGGAAACCCACGGUCUCCUCCACAGGAUGGAAGCACGAGGCCUCUGGGUGUCGGUCUGAGCCAGGCCGAAGAGCGGGGCUCCGUGGCGGGGACAUCAGAAAGCUCUGAGGCCCGGGCUGCGCCUACCACCCACAGACGGAGGCCGAAAUGUGCUGUUUUCCUGGCCCUUGGUGUAGAGAGGAAACUGGCUGAGCUAAUUCGGGAGCCUGGAAGGCGGCCGAUUCGCAGGUCAUUGGGGCUGAAGCCAGGCAGGAUUUUGGGGGCACUCAGAAUCCUUCUGAUGGAGCUCUGCAUUUGAAGCCUGGGUGCAGGAGUUUUCAGAAGAGGAUGGUGCUCUGCAUGAUGGCUGUUUGGCUUGACAGACAGACCCCUGAGUCUCAAAGGUGACGUCACCAAGAUGCUGACAUGGGUCAUUCCUGACUUAGCUCCCCACACAAGAAGAACAAGUAACAACUAUUCAAGAACGAGGUAGCACUGAGAGAAUCCUAGAACACGGGCUGAAGCACCCCCUGCACCACAGAGACCAAGACAGAUGUGGUGGAAGGUAAGAGAAGGGGCUACACAUUGACCACCUUCCUCUCCCCUGGGGCCAGUGCAGGGAAAGAUAAACAAAAUUGACAAACUCAUAGCUAGACUAAUCAAGGAAAAAG